UGACUACGUAAAUAUGAUGACUAAUAUUGUUUUCGUUUCUUUUAAGUGCUGAAACUACCAUCAUACACAAGGCAUCCUUCAUUAAAGAUUGAACAAUUUCUUUGUUUACAUGGUCCGUUUCCCCCUUCGUUUCUUUCAGUUAUCCUGCGUUUGUUUGAUGUUUGAGUUUAUUCUAUUUCAGUAAAAGAAUUUCUGUCAUGCUUCCAAAUUUUUUGCUCUCUGCAUUAGGGGAGGGUGUGGGGCAGUGAUAGACUCUUAUCACACCUACAUACCCUAGAAGGACCCAGAAGAAUGUAGAAGAAAAUUCAGUUAGACAUAUUCAGUUACAGGCAGGGGUAUUGUGGGAAAUAUGGUGAGAUAGGAUGCCUAUAAAUGUGAGAAAGGUCAGUCUGGGAAAGGGGGAGAAAAGGGAGGAGAAGAAAGUGUGGAGAGACUAGCCCUCUCGAAUGGCUAUGUGUUUUCUUUUUUCAGUAGUGUAGUUUCAUCAAUAAAAUACAGCAUUUCAUUUCUAUUCUAGUAUUGUUCAUUCACUGGAGCCGGGAUCCUAACAAAAUGGUAUCAGAGCAACCAUUCUGGCCCUGGGGUAUUACAUUUGAUGAAGAAAAGCAACUUGAAGAUAGAGUCGAUAAAUUAGAGGCGAAAAUUGAUGGGAUUCAAUUGAAAGUAAAGGAAGAUCUGGAAACACUAAAAUAUGACAUUAAGAAGGUGAUGUCUAUCAUGAUGGAGAAGCUUGAUCUGAUGAUGGGAUAAUUGGGUCAGGCAGGAGCAGAAAAAGGUCAGGCAAUUACAUUACCUGAAUUGGAUGAAAUUGGGGCAAUUACCCUUGAAUCGGAUGAAACUGGGGUUAUUACUGAUAGCCAUAAAUCGCGAGAAGAACCGGGUAAGUCGGAGGCACGCAAUUGUAGGCUGAGAAUGCUGGUUUCGGAAGGAAUUGCAACUCCAUUGCAGGCAAUCUCAGAUGUAGUGAAGGAAGUGGAUCAGUAGGAGCAUGAAGGGAAAGUGAAAGGACGGGCAGCUACCCCGUCUAAAGCCACCUUCAAUUCUGAUAUCCUAUCUAAACCUGGUGAAAUUGGAGCUACUCCAGGCGGCAGGAUUUGCAGGGAGUACCAGAAGCCGUUCGAGGUCAUGGCCGUUCUUUUGCCAACCGAGGAAUUGGAUGGUAGUCUCGUUUAGGGGCUGAAAUCAUGGGAUAUGGUUGAGGUCACGAGUUUGCCUAUAGGUGUGGGCCAAAAUAUGGAGAUAGUCCAAGGGGUUGAAGACAAGAAUGAAAAGAAGCAGGCCCAAUUAAAUUUUGGCCCAUUUAAACCUAAAGUUAAUACCUAUAACCCUAGCCCAAAAUUCCCCAAUUUCUCUGUCCACACAUGUAACCCAGUUUACCAGGUACCACAUCAAACAAACUCAAUCAACACCAAAUCCACGGCCACCUCCAUGUUCUGUCCGUCCACGAUAAAAGGAAGACAUCCAUUUGAAACGUUGAAAGACAUUGAGUUAGAUGGGAAGAGGGGGCUAUGUUAUCGAGAUGAUGAGAAAUACAUUCCAGGUCAUCGUUGUCGAAACAAGGAGCUACAGGUUUUGAUGGUACAAGUGGUAGAAGGGAGUAAUCAAUUGAAAGUUCAAAAAAGUGAUUUUAGGGGGUAUUCCAUGUUGUUCACGAGGGAUUUGGUGCCUUGCAAAGUGGGUUGGAAUGAAUCUAAUCAGAGGGGCCAUGGGACUUUACUACCAAACAACGAGACACGAGAAAUAGUUCGGGAUAUCAAUGAUAAUAAAUUUGGAUGGGAAGGUGGCUACAAAAGUGGAGAGAUUUUUAACACCAUCAAUUGUGUGGAGGACACUGAUACAUUAGGGUUGUUAAUUAAUCCAAUUGUUGCACAAGAAGAGGGGGUUGUGGAGUUGAUCGAUUAUGCUACCUUCUACUAUGGUACUCCAAUUCGCCAGUUUCAUUUUCUCGAAAAUUUGCUAAGGUGUGCGACCGGUUAUGGGGUUUUAAUGGACAAUAUACUACUCGUAGUUAAUCACUUUGCCAAAUUUUUCGGGUUGAAUUAUCUCUUCUUUGCUCUUAUCUUGACUAGGAUUGGUCCAAGCUUUCACCUUGAGGACAAGGUGAAUUUCAGGGGGCGAGUAAUGAUAGACUCUUAUCACACCUACAUACCCUAGAAGGACCCAGAAGAAUGUAGAAGAAAAUUCAGUUAGACAUAUUCAGUUACAGGCAGGGGUAUUGUGGGAAAUAUGGUGAGAUAGGAUGCCUAUAAAUGUGAGAAAGGUCAGUCUGUGAAAGGGGGAGAAAAGGGAGGAGAAGAAAGUGUGGAGAGACUAGCCCUCUCGAAUGGCUGUGUUUUCUUUUUCAGUAGUGUAGUUCUCAGUUUCAUUAAUAAAAUACAGCAUUUCAUUUCUAUUCUAGUAUUGUUCAUUCACUGGAGCUGGGAUCCUAACAGGCAGGCUAUGUUAAAUCGUGACUUCCGGAAGAGACCAAUUGCAGAUGCUGUUCUGAGCCAUCGGUUCAUGGCUGGUGACUUCCUUUAAGUUGAUUCAGAAGGAUACAUCCCAAAUAUUUUGUAUACAAUUGAGAUCUGAAGAGGCAAGCUUCUCAAGUACAAAAAACUGAUGGGAUGAAGACACUAAAGUCUGUAACCCCUGAGGGUAUUUUGGAAUUUUUAGUUAUUAAAGAUUGCUUUAAGAAGAGUUGAAAAAGUAAGGUGUUUGUUCAUUUUGUCUAUCUACGUUAGGCAUCUUUCUCAUUUAUCAUAAUUCAUUGCUUUAAGAAGAGUUGAAAAAGUAAGCUGUUUGUUCAUUUUGUCUGUCUACUUUAGGCAUCUUUCUCACUUUUCACAAUUCAUUGCUUCAGCAAAGCAUUAUUUGCCAAUAAGAGGUUGAUGAUGGACCAAGAGAAAAGUUGCCAAAAACUUUUAUUUUCGAACAUGUUUGGAUUAGCUUAAAUGCUAUAAAUGUUGCUAAAUUAUGUUCAA
RNA transcript from Olea europaea var. sylvestris, 2963 nucleotides. RefSeq lists it as uncharacterized. Lineage: Eukaryota; Viridiplantae; Streptophyta; Magnoliopsida; Lamiales; Oleaceae. The transcript is spliced from 2 exons. The record is from RefSeq and is a predicted model, not a curated record.